RNAcentral lists this unclassified non-coding RNA (377 nucleotides) under uncultured bacterium. RNAcentral's name for it is "contains 16S-23S intergenic spacer region". The record is from RNAcentral.
UCCGGUUUGUCACCGGCAGUCUCGCAUGAGUCCCCAACUAAAUGCUGGCAACAUGCGACGGGGGUUGCGCUCGUUGCGGGACUUAACCCAACAUCUCACGACACGAGCUGACGACAGCCAUGCACCACCUGUGAGGGUCCGGCCGAACCGACCCCGUGUUUCCACGGCUUCACCCCGCAUGUCAAGCCCUGGUAAGGUUCUUCGCGUCGCGUCGAAUUAAGCCACAUGCUCCGCCGCUUGUGCGGGCCCCCGUCAAUUCCUUUGAGUUUCAGUCUUGCGACCGUACUCCCCAGGCGGAGUGCUUAAUGUGUUGACUUCGGCACAGCAGAGGUCAAUACCCACUACACCAAGCACUCAUCAUUUACGGCGUGGACUAC